GUGAGGAAUAUUGGUCAAUGGGCGAGAGCCUGAACCAGCCAAGUAGCGUGAGGGAUGACUGCCCUAUGGGUUGUAAACCUCUUUUGCAGGGGGGUAAAGUGGUCCACGUGUGGAUCAUUGCAAGUACCCUGCGAAUAAGGAUCGGCUAACUCCGUGCCAGCAGCCGCGGUAAUACGGAGGAUCCGAGCGUUAUCCGGAUUUAUUGGGUUUAAAGGGAGCGUAGGCGGGGGUUUAAGUCAGCUGUGAAAUGCCGUGGCCCAACCAUGGAACUGCAGUUGAAACUGGACCUCUUGAGAGUACAUAAGGAAGGCGGAAUUCGUGGUGUAGCGGUGAAAUGCAUAGAUAUCACGAAGAACUCCGAUUGCGAAGGCAGCUUUCCGGGGUACAUCUGACGCUGAAGCUCGAAAGUGCGGGAAUCAAACAGGAUUAGAAACCCUAGUAGUCC
RNAcentral lists this ribosomal RNA (445 nucleotides) under uncultured bacterium. Its description in RNAcentral is "partial 16S ribosomal RNA". It matches the Rfam family "Bacterial small subunit ribosomal RNA", at positions 354 to 796 of the family's 1533-position model. The record is from RNAcentral.